RNAcentral lists this long non-coding RNA (737 nucleotides) under Struthio camelus australis. Its description in RNAcentral is "lncRNA (ENSSCUG00000002388.1)". Lineage: Eukaryota; Metazoa; Chordata; Aves; Struthioniformes; Struthionidae. The record is from RNAcentral.
UUUUUCCAUCAGGAUGAAGAAUCAAGUAACUUCUGCAGAGCACAGCUAUAGGUAUCCUGCAGCUUCCUUCCUUCAAAUGCAAAGGCAAAACUGCAGCAGCAGCCAAGAAGUGCUCCUUACAGUUAGGUUUUACUCAUUUACAGAGAUCUAUUUGCAAAAGGAGGCUUGCGAAUACGCAGCUAGCAAAGGAUACAAAAGAAAUGAGGUCUGCAGGCGCUGAGCGUUCACUUCCUCCCUGCCUGAUCGGAGAUGAAAGCGUUGCAGGGGCCAGGGGAGCAGUUAGGGCCUUCUCCAGAAGUCAAGAGUGACUAAAAUUUGCACCUGUUUCUGACCUACCAACUACAAUCAGAGCUCUGGGUCACCUGGUCCUAGCUCGGGCUAAGGUGGCAAAGAGCGAAGGGUGCUCACAAAGAGAAGUACUCUACAAUCGGCAAGUACUGCCAACUUGUCCUUUGUUGAUAUUCCUACCCCCAUCCACCCUUGUCCUUUCAACUGUACAUCACUGCAGGGUAGGGUGUUUCCUGCUCUCUAGGGAUGGUUGCUUGGUUUCCUCUGUUCCCUCUGUAAUGCCUCCUGUCUCGUAACAGUGGUUUAGUGGCAAAAAGGUGAAAUCUUCUGUUCAGAAAGAAUCAAGAUGAAACGUGAAUUGUAUCAACAUAAUUGAAAAAAUUACUUUCAGCCAUGGUUUGAACAAAAGUGAAAAGCAGUACCUCAGUAGAUGGUAACCCCCAUAUAUA